GGGGCCCCGGGCCCGUCCCGCCGCCCCCGCCCGCCUACGGGAGGCAGCAGUGGGGAAUUUUGGACAAUGGGGGCAACCCUGAUCCAGCCAUGCCGCGUGAGUGAAGAAGGCCUUCGGGUUGUAAAGCUCUUUCAGCCGGGAAGAAAAUGCAUGGGUUAAUACCCUGUGCAGAUGACGGUACCGGAAUAAGAAGCACCGCUAACACUG
This 207-nucleotide ribosomal RNA is filed under the name uncultured Pseudomonadota bacterium. Its description in RNAcentral is "uncultured proteobacterium partial 16S ribosomal RNA". It matches the Rfam family "Bacterial small subunit ribosomal RNA", at positions 315 to 505 of the family's 1533-position model. Lineage: Bacteria; Pseudomonadati; Pseudomonadota. The record is from RNAcentral.